RNAcentral lists this small nuclear RNA (105 nucleotides) under Phascolarctos cinereus (koala). Lineage: Eukaryota; Metazoa; Chordata; Mammalia; Diprotodontia; Phascolarctidae. The record is from RNAcentral.
GUGCUCAAUUUGGCAGGAUACGUAUUAAAACUAGAAUGAUACAGGGAAGAUUAGCACGGUCCCUGCACAAAGAUAACUCACAUUUAUACACUGCUCCAUAUUUUA